GCUGGAGUGGUGAAAUUGGUAUACACGUCAGUCUUAGGAACUGAUGCCUUCGGGCGUGGAGGUUCAAGUCCUCUCUCCAGCA
RNAcentral lists this transfer RNA (82 nucleotides) under Candidatus Kaiserbacteria bacterium. Its description in RNAcentral is "tRNA-Leu". It matches the Rfam family "tRNA". Rfam says of the family: Transfer RNA (tRNA) molecules are approximately 80 nucleotides in length. Their secondary structure includes four short double-helical elements and three loops (D, anti-codon, and T loops). The record is from RNAcentral. Lineage: Bacteria; Candidatus Kaiseribacteriota.